Molecule: unclassified non-coding RNA, 436 nt
Filed under: Zea mays
Lineage: Eukaryota; Viridiplantae; Streptophyta; Magnoliopsida; Poales; Poaceae
Description: misc RNA Zm00001eb081340
Source: RNAcentral
AUCACGAAAUGCUCCUAACAAUAAACAAAUACAGCAAAAGAAAAAAGAAAAGAAAAGGCACAGCUCGUCAAACUUUACGGGGCCGCAGCAUGCCAGUUCCAGCCGCGGCCUCGAUCACGGCCGGCCCGUCGGCGGCGGCGACGCCACGCCCUUCCAGCUUGACUCACCGCCGUCCCUCCCCCUCCUCGUGGACCCGUCCCAGCCUCUCCGCACCGAGCCGUCGCCGCCGCCUCGCGCCCAGGAGACCGUCCUGGCCAGGAACGAUUGCCACCGGCGCCCGCCGUGGCUGCUCCCCCCGCCGUUGCCAAAGCUUCCUGCUCCUGCUACGCCCCUUCCGCCUCGGGAGCUCCCCUCGGAACUCAUGUCCGAGAGGUUGAGCAGGCUGGUGGCGUGGCGCAGGCGGCGAGACCGGAGCACCUGCUCCCGCACGUGCUCC